RNAcentral lists this ribosomal RNA (677 nucleotides) under uncultured archaeon. Its description in RNAcentral is "bacterial SSU rRNA". It matches the Rfam family "Archaeal small subunit ribosomal RNA", at positions 321 to 999 of the family's 1478-position model. The record is from RNAcentral.
CCCUAUGGGGUGCAGCAGGCGAGAAAACUUUGCAAUGUGCGAAAGCACGACAAGGUUAAUCCGAGUGGUUUCUGCUAAAGGAACCUUUUGUCGGUCCUAGAAACACCGAUGAAUAAGGGGUGGGCAAGUUCUGGUGUCAGCCGCCGCGGUAAAACCAGCACCUCAAGUUGUCAGGAUGAUUAUUGGGCCUAAAGCAUCCGUAGCCGGCUCUGUUAGUUUUCGGUUAAAUCUGUACGCUCAACGUACAGGCUGCCGGGAAUACUGCAGAGCUAGGGAGUGGGAGAGGUAGACGGUACUCGGUAGGAAGGGGUAAAAUCCUUUGAUCUAUUGAUGACCACCUGUGGCGAAGGCGGUCUACCAGAACACGUCCGACGGUGAGGGAUGAAAGCUGGGGGAGCAAACCGGAUUAGAUACCCGGGUAGUCCCAGCUGUAAACUAUGCAAACUCAGUGAUGCAUUGGCUUGUGGCCAAUGCAGUGCUGCAGGGAAGCCGUUAAGUUUGCCGCCUGGGAAGUACGUACGCAAGUAUGAAACUUAAAGGAAUUGGCGGGGGAGCACCACAAGGGGUGAAGCCUGCGGUUCAAUUGGAGUCAACGCCAGAAAUCUUACCCGGAGAGACAGCAGAAUGAAGGUCAAGCUGAAGACUUUACCAGACAAGCUGAGAGGUAGUGCAUGGCC